GGAGCUGGCUUGCCUGCGAAGGUAUCGACUCGGUGAGCCUGAAUCACCGAGUCGAUACCUUCGCAGGCAAGCCAGCUCC
RNAcentral lists this unclassified non-coding RNA (79 nucleotides) under Pseudomonas libanensis. Lineage: Bacteria; Pseudomonadati; Pseudomonadota; Gammaproteobacteria; Pseudomonadales; Pseudomonadaceae. The record is from RNAcentral.